AACGUAGGACGCAAGCGUUAUCCGGAGUUACUGGGCGUAAAGGGCGGGCAGGCGGUCUAGCAAGUGGGGUGUGAAAGCUCUCAGCUUAACUGGGAGAGGCCAUUCCAGACUGCUAGACUGGAGGGCAGUAGAGGUAGGCGGAAUUCCGGGUGGAGUGGUGAAAUGCGUAGAGAUCCGGAGGAACACCAGAGGCGAAGGCGGCCUACUGGGCUGCACCUGACGCUGAACCGCGAAAGCCAGGGGAGCGAACGGG
RNAcentral lists this ribosomal RNA (253 nucleotides) under uncultured bacterium. Its description in RNAcentral is "partial 16S ribosomal RNA". It matches the Rfam family "Bacterial small subunit ribosomal RNA", at positions 524 to 776 of the family's 1533-position model. The record is from RNAcentral.